GAUGAACGCUAGCUACAGGCUUAACACAUGCAAGUCGAGGGGAAACGAUAGGGAAAGCUUGCUUUUUCUAGGCGUCGACCGGCGCACGGGUGAGUAACGCGUAUCCAACCUGCCCAUCACUUGGGGAUAACCUUUCGAAAGUAAGACUAAUACCCAAUGACGUCUCUAGAAGACAUCUGAAGGAGAUUAAAGAUUUAUCGGUGCUGAAUGGGGAUGCGUCUGAUUAGCUUGUUGGCGGGGUAACGGCCCACCAAGGCGACGAUCAGUAGGGGUUCUGGGAGGAAUGUCCCCCCAACUGGAACUGAGACACGGUCCAAACUCCUACUGGAGGCAGCAGUGAGGAAUAUUGGUCAAUGGACGAGAGACUGAACCAGCCAAGUAGCGUGCGGGAAGACGGCCCUAUGGGUUGUAAACUGCUUUUAUAAGGGAAUAAGGUGGGAGUCGUGACUCCUUUUGCAUGUACCUUAUGAAUAAGGACCGGCUAAUUCCGUGCCAGCCGCCGCAGUAA
Molecule: ribosomal RNA, 508 nt
Filed under: uncultured bacterium
Lineage: Bacteria
Description: partial 16S ribosomal RNA
Rfam family: Bacterial small subunit ribosomal RNA
Source: RNAcentral